This 256-nucleotide ribosomal RNA is filed under the name uncultured bacterium. RNAcentral describes it as "partial 16S ribosomal RNA". It matches the Rfam family "Bacterial small subunit ribosomal RNA", at positions 521 to 776 of the family's 1533-position model. The record is from RNAcentral.
UAAGACGUAGGUGGCAAGCGUUACUCGGAAUUACUAGGCGUAAAGCGCGCGUAGGCGGAAUGUUAAGUUUAUUGUGUAAUCUCUGGGCUCAACCCAGAAACUGCAAUAAAAACUGGCGUUCUUGAGUGAGGCAGAGGAAAUCGGAAUUCCCAGUGUAGCAGUGAAAUGCGUAGAUAUUGGGAGGAACACCGGUGGCGAAGGCGGAUUUCUGGGCCUUUACUGACGCUGAAGUGCGAAAGCUAGGGGAGCAAACGGG